This 521-nucleotide ribosomal RNA is filed under the name uncultured bacterium. RNAcentral's name for it is "bacterial SSU rRNA". It matches the Rfam family "Bacterial small subunit ribosomal RNA", at positions 9 to 527 of the family's 1533-position model. The record is from RNAcentral.
GAGUUUGAUCCUGGCUCAGAUUGAACGCUGGCGGCAUGCCUUACACAUGCAAGUCGAACGGUAACGCGGGGCAACCUGGCGACGAGUGGCGAACGGGUGAGUAACGCAUCGGAACGUGCCCAGUAGUGGGGGAUAGCCCGGCGAAAGCCGGAUUAAUACCGCAUACGACCUAAGGGUGAAAGCGGGGGAUCGCAAGACCUUGCGCUAUUGGAGCGGCCGAUGUCAGAUUAGGUAGUUGGUGGGGUAAAGGCCUACCAAGCCUGCGAUCUGUAGCUGGUCUGAGAGGGCGACCAGCCACACUGGGACUGAGACACGGCCCAGACUCCUACGGGAGGCAGCAGUGGGGAAUUUUGGACAAUGGGGGAAACCUUUCUCCAGCCAUGCCGCGUGCGGGAAGAAGGCCUUCGGGUUGUAAACCGCUUUUGUCAGGGAAGAAAAGGCGCAGUCUAAUACGUUGCGACAAUGACGGUACCUGAAGAAUAAGCACCGGCUAACUACGUGCCAGCAGCCGCGGUAAUCCG